UGGGGAAUAUUGGACAAUGGGCGAAAGCCUGAUCCAGCCAUGCCGCGUGUGUGAAGAAGGCCUUUUGGUUGUAAAGCACUUUAAGCGUGGAGGAGGAUACUUGGAUUAAUACUCUAGGAUAGUGGACGUUACUCGCAGAAUAAGCACCGGCUAACUCUGUGCCAGCAGCCGCGGUAAUACAGAGGGUGCGAGCGUUAAUCGGAUUUACUGGGCGUAAAGCGUGCGUAGGCGGCUUCUUAAGUCGGAUGUGAAAUCCCUGAGCUUAACUUAGGAAUUGCAUUCGAUACUGGGAAGCUAGAGUAUGGGAGAAGAUGGUAGAAUUCCAGGUGUAGCGGUGAAAUGCGUAAAGAUCUGGAGGAAUACCGAUGACGAAGGCAGCCAUCUGGCCUAAUACUGACGCUGUGGUACGAAAGCAUGGGGAGCAAACAGG
Molecule: ribosomal RNA, 430 nt
Filed under: Acidobacteriota bacterium
Lineage: Bacteria; Pseudomonadati; Acidobacteriota
Description: Acidobacteria bacterium partial 16S ribosomal RNA
Rfam family: Bacterial small subunit ribosomal RNA
Source: RNAcentral